This 492-nucleotide ribosomal RNA is filed under the name uncultured bacterium. Its description in RNAcentral is "bacterial SSU rRNA". It matches the Rfam family "Bacterial small subunit ribosomal RNA", at positions 1010 to 1510 of the family's 1533-position model. The record is from RNAcentral.
GGGAGCGUGCAAGCAAGGGAUGGACGGACAGGGCAUGCAUGUCGUUAGUUAGCGUGGGUAGAGAGAGGGUGAAGUCAGUCAAGGAGCGAGAGCAACGUCGAUGGUUGGUGGCAUGUGUCGAGAGAGACUGGUUCUACAAGGAAGAAGAAGGGGAGGAUGACAAGAAGUCAGCACCGUCACUCCGUUGGGGGCGCCCCACAUGCAACAAUGGCGGGGACGGGUGGUCGCCAACCGAGGAGGAGGCGAUAAUAUCAAAAAAGAUGUUAUCAGAGAGGACAGGAGGCAGAAACCCGCCUCCAAGUAGUAGGAGUUAGUAGUAGCGAGUGAUCAGCACACGGCGGAGAAGUUGUUGGGUGGUGUAUGACCACGCCGGUCGUAACACCAAAGUAGUCGGCACCACAAGCAGCCGGGGUAAUAAGUUACUAGAGAGGCAGGCGUCGAGGGUGGGGUCGGUGAUUGGGGUGAAGUCGUAACAAGGUAUCAAUCCCGCGG